GAUGAACGCUGACAGAAUGCUUAACACAUGCAAGUCAUUGGCGAAGCUGCGCUUGCGCAGUCUAGCCAAGGCGGACGGGUGAGUAACGCGUAAGGAACUUGCCCUGCAGACAGGGAUAACAGACGGAAACGACUGAUAACACCUGGUAUUGUCAGGCUGGCGCAUGCCGGCCUGAUGAAAGGAGACGCUGCAGGAGAGCCUUGCGUCCUAUUAGCUAGUUGGUGGGGUAACGGCCCACCAAGGCGAUGAUAGGUAGCCGGCCUGAGAGGGUGAACGGCCACAAGGGGACUGAGAUACGGCCCUUACUCCUACGGGAGGCGGCAGUGGGGAAUAUUGGACAAUGGGGGCAACCCUGAUCCAGCAAUUCUGUGUGCACGAAGAAGGUUUUCGGAGUGUAAAGUGCUUUCAGCAGGGAAGAAGAAAGUGACGGUACCUGCAGAAGAAGCGACGGCUAAAUACGUG
RNAcentral lists this ribosomal RNA (462 nucleotides) under uncultured bacterium. RNAcentral describes it as "partial 16S ribosomal RNA". It matches the Rfam family "Bacterial small subunit ribosomal RNA", at positions 28 to 507 of the family's 1533-position model. The record is from RNAcentral.